AACGGACAGGAGGUAGGUCUCUUUUCGAGAAGCUGGGACAGCAGGAGGAAGGGAAACAGCAGCAAACAGGACCAGGCAAAACCAGAGGGAGCCACUGUCUCCCACCAGUUAAGGAGGAAGAGAAGUGGGCAGGGUCAUGUGAGAAGUCCCACAGGAAGAUGACUGAUCAGUGGACAUGAGGAGCCAUUGACAUCUAGUUCAGGAGUGUUUGGUAAAUGAGCAGAAGUGAAAGCCAGAAUCUAGUGACUCCAGGAACAAGUGGGAGAUGAGGAAGAGAAGAAAGAAAAUUCAAUUUCUGGAGGAAAGCUUUGUUUAAAAAAUAUUCUCAGCUUCUUGAUAAAAAUGCAAUCAUAAAAGAACUGAAUUACACUGAGUUGGAGUGUACAAAACAGCAUUC
Long non-coding RNA from Peromyscus leucopus (white-footed mouse), 397 nucleotides. RefSeq lists it as uncharacterized. The transcript is spliced from 3 exons. NCBI's taxonomy places the organism in Eukaryota, Metazoa, Chordata, Mammalia, Rodentia, Cricetidae. The record is from RefSeq and is a predicted model, not a curated record.